Molecule: ribosomal RNA, 254 nt
Filed under: uncultured bacterium
Lineage: Bacteria
Description: partial 16S ribosomal RNA
Rfam family: Bacterial small subunit ribosomal RNA
Source: RNAcentral
CACGUAGGCACCAAGCGUUGUCCGGAUUUAUUGGGCGUAAAGAGCUCGUAGGCGGUUCAGUAAGUCAGGUGUGAAAUCUUUGGGCUUAACCCAAAGCGUGCACUUGAUACUGCUGUGACUUGAGUUCGGUAGGGGAGUGGGGAAUUCCUAGUGUAGCGGUGAAAUGCGCAGAUAUUAGGAGGAACACCGGUGGCGAAGGCGCCACUCUGGGCCGAAACUGACGCUGAGGAGCGAAAGUGUGGGGAGCGAACAGG